RNAcentral lists this transfer RNA (71 nucleotides) under Ameiurus melas (black bullhead). It matches the Rfam family "tRNA". Rfam says of the family: Transfer RNA (tRNA) molecules are approximately 80 nucleotides in length. Their secondary structure includes four short double-helical elements and three loops (D, anti-codon, and T loops). Further hydrogen bonds mediate the characteristic L-shaped molecular structure. tRNAs have two regions of fundamental functional importance: the anti-codon, which is responsible for specific mRNA codon recognition, and the 3' end, to which the tRNAs corresponding amino acid is attached (by aminoacyl-tRNA synthetases). tRNAs cope with the degeneracy of the genetic code in two manners: having more than one tRNA (with a specific anti-codon) for a particular amino acid; and 'wobble' base-pairing, i.e. permitting non-standard base-pairing at the 3rd anti-codon position. Lineage: Eukaryota; Metazoa; Chordata; Actinopteri; Siluriformes; Ictaluridae. The record is from Rfam by way of RNAcentral.
UCCCAUAUGGUCUAGCGGUCAGGAUUCUUGGUUUUCACCCAGGCGGCCCGGGUUCGACUCCGGUAUGGGAA